RNAcentral lists this ribosomal RNA (516 nucleotides) under uncultured bacterium. RNAcentral describes it as "partial 16S ribosomal RNA". It matches the Rfam family "Bacterial small subunit ribosomal RNA", at positions 355 to 860 of the family's 1533-position model. The record is from RNAcentral.
UGGGGAAUUUUGGACAAUGGGCGAAAGCCUGAUCCAGCAAUGCCGCGUGUGUGAAGAAGGCCUUCGGGUUGUAAAGCACUUUUGUCCGGAAAGAAAUCCUUGGCUCUAAUACAGUCGGGGGAUGACGGUACCGGAAGAAUAAGCACCGGCUAACUACGUGCCAGCAGCCGCGGUAAUACGUAGGGUGCAAGCGUUAAUCGGAAUUACUGGGCGUAAAGCGUGCGCAGGCGGUUUGCUAAGACCGAUGUGAAAUCCCCGGGCUCAACCUGGGAACUGCAUUGGUGACUGGCAGGCUAGAGUAUGGCAGAGGGGGGUAGAAUUCCACGUGUAGCAGUGAAAUGCGUAGAGAUGUGGAGGAAUACCGAUGGCGAAGGCAGCCCCCUGGGCCAAUACUGACGCUCAUGCACGAAAAGCGUGGGGAAGCAAAACAGGAUUAGAUACCCUGGUAGUCCACGCCCUAAAACGAUGUCAACUAGUUGUUGGGGAUUCAUUUCCUUAGUAACGUAGCUAACGCGU